Molecule: ribosomal RNA, 496 nt
Filed under: uncultured bacterium
Lineage: Bacteria
Description: partial 16S ribosomal RNA
Rfam family: Bacterial small subunit ribosomal RNA
Source: RNAcentral
AUGAACGCUGGCGGCGUGCCUAAUACCUGCAAGUCGAGCGAACGGACGAGAAGCUUGCUUCUCUGAUGUUAGCGGCGGACGGGUGAGUAACACGUGGAUAACCUACCUAUAAGACUGGGAUAACUUCGGGAAACCGGAGCUAAUACCGGAUAAUAUUUUGAACCGCAUGGUUCAAAAGUGAAAGACGGUCUUGCUGUCACUUAUAGAUGGAUCCGCGCUGCAUUAGCUAGUUGGUAAGGUAACGGCUUACCAAGGCAACGAUGCAUAGCCGACCUGAGAGGGUGAUCGGCCACACUGGAACUGAGACACGGCCCAGACUCCUACGGGAGGCAGCAGUAGGGAAUCUUCCGCAAUGGGCGAAAGCCUGACGGAGCAACGCCGCGUGAGUGAUGAAGGUCUUCGGAUCGUAAAACUCUGUUAUUAGGGAAGAACAUAUGUGUAAGUAACUGUGCACAUCUUGACGGUACCUAAUCAGAAAGCCACGGCUAACUACGUG